UACGUAGGGUGCGAGCGUUGUCCGGAUUUAUUGGGCGUAAAGGGCUCGUAGGCGGCGUGUCGCGUCGGGAGUGAAAGCCCGUUGCUUAACGGCGGGUUGGCUUUCGGUACGGGCAUGCUGGAGUGCGGCAGGGGAGACUGGAAUUCCUGGUGUAGCAGUGAAAUGCGUAGAUAUCAGGAGGAACACCGACGGCGUAGGCAGCGCCCUGGACGACACCUGACGCUGAGGCACGAAAGCUGGGGGAGCGAACAGG
Molecule: ribosomal RNA, 253 nt
Filed under: uncultured bacterium
Lineage: Bacteria
Description: partial 16S ribosomal RNA
Rfam family: Bacterial small subunit ribosomal RNA
Source: RNAcentral